UACGGAGGGUGCAAGCGUUAUCCGGAUUUACUGGGUUUAAAGGGUGCGUAGGCGGUCUUUUAAGUCGGUGGUGAAAGCUCGCAGCUUAACUGUGAAACUGCCAUCGAUACUGAAAGACUUGAAUACCUUGGAUGUGGGCGGAAUACAUCAUGUAGCGGUGAAAUGCUUAGAUAUGAUGUAGAACACCGAUUGCGAAGGCAGCUCACAACAAGGCAAUUGACGCUGAGGCACGAAAGCGUGGGUAGCAAACAGGAUUAGAUACCCUGGUAGUCCACGCCCUAAACGAUGAAUACUCGAUGUAUGGCCUAUUAUGGGUUGUGCGUCCAAGCGAAAGCGUUAAGUAUUCCACCUGGGGAGUACGGCCGCAAGGUUAAA
This 375-nucleotide ribosomal RNA is filed under the name uncultured bacterium. RNAcentral's name for it is "bacterial SSU rRNA". It matches the Rfam family "Bacterial small subunit ribosomal RNA", at positions 524 to 898 of the family's 1533-position model. The record is from RNAcentral.